GGCAGUGAUGGCUAAAUGGUUAAGGCUCUGAGUUACUGAUCGGAAGGUCGGGGUUCAAGCCCCAGCACGGCCA
Molecule: non-coding RNA, 73 nt
Organism: Ameiurus melas (black bullhead)
Lineage: Eukaryota; Metazoa; Chordata; Actinopteri; Siluriformes; Ictaluridae
Source: the annotation of a GenBank genome assembly